GGGUGACAGGUGGUGCAUGGUUGUCGUCAGCUCGUGUCGUGAGAUGUUGGGUUAAGUCCCGCACCGAGCGCAACCCUCGACCUUAGUUGCCAGCAUUCAGUUGGGCACUCUAAGGUGACUGCCGGCUAAAAGUCGGAGGAAGGUGGGGAUGACGUCAAAUCAUCAUGCCCCUUGUGACCUGGGCUACACACGUGCUACAAUGGGCGGUACAAAGGGUCGCGAACCCGCGAGGGGGAGCCAAUCCCAAAAAAGCCGCUCUCAGUUCGGAUUGCAGGCUGCAACUCGCCUGCAUGAAGCCGGAAUCGCUAGUAAUCGCGGAUCAGCAUGCCGCGGUGAAUACGUUCCCGGGCCUU
Molecule: ribosomal RNA, 353 nt
Filed under: uncultured Anoxybacillus sp.
Lineage: Bacteria; Bacillati; Bacillota; Bacilli; Caryophanales; Anoxybacillaceae
Description: bacterial SSU rRNA
Rfam family: Bacterial small subunit ribosomal RNA
Source: RNAcentral